This 291-nucleotide ribosomal RNA is filed under the name uncultured bacterium. Its description in RNAcentral is "partial 16S ribosomal RNA". It matches the Rfam family "Bacterial small subunit ribosomal RNA", at positions 335 to 623 of the family's 1533-position model. The record is from RNAcentral.
CUUCCUACGGGACGCAGCAGUGAGGAAUAUUGGUCAAUGGGCGAGAGCCUGAACCAGCCGAGUCGCGUGAGGGAAGACGGCCCUACGGGUUGUAAACCUCUUUUGUCAGGGAGCAAGAACGGAUACGCGUAUCCGAGCGAGAGUACCUGAAGAAAAAGCAUCGGCUAACUCCGUGCCAGCAGCCGCGGUAAUACGGAGGAUGCGAGCGUUAUCCGGAUUUAUUGGGUUUAAAGGGUGCGUAGGCGGACUACCAAGUCAGCGGUAAAAUUGCGGGGCUGAACCCCGGCGAGC